GGGGGCGAAUGGCUUCGACCGUGUAAGGUGUGUAAAAGCUGCGUACUGAGGUUGUCAGGAGGCCUCAUAAAACACCUGGCAAACGUUUAAAUGCUGACAGUCAUGAGUUAGCAAUGGCUGCCUAAACCGCAGUCACGUCCAUUCAGUCUUGCCUGCGUGACUGAAUGGGCGCCAAAGCAGCAGGAUAGUUCAGCCCUUUUGCUUGACGGGGGUUGAACGAAAACCUUAGUUCAGGCUGGUUGUUCCGAAACCCUGCUUAUCGGGGUUCGGAAUGACGACAAUAAAAGAUAGGCUACGUGCGUAGAUGCUUUUGCUCAACUACAUUGGGACGCGGGUUCGAUUCCCGCCGCCUCCACCA
This 358-nucleotide transfer-messenger RNA is filed under the name Candidatus Brocadiia bacterium. It matches the Rfam family "transfer-messenger RNA". Rfam says of the family: Bacterial tmRNA, also known as 10Sa RNA or SsrA, is named for its dual tRNA and mRNA-like properties. Its role is to liberate the mRNA from a stalled ribosome. RNAcentral also lists the same sequence under 1 other name. Lineage: Bacteria; Pseudomonadati; Planctomycetota; Candidatus Brocadiia. The record is from RNAcentral.